This 245-nucleotide unclassified non-coding RNA is filed under the name uncultured fungus. RNAcentral's name for it is "partial contains 18S rRNA, ITS1, 5.8S rRNA, ITS2 and 28S rRNA". Lineage: Eukaryota; Fungi. The record is from RNAcentral.
AAGGAUCAUUACCGAAUUGUUAACACGAGUUGCUGCUGGCCUUCUAAACAGGGGCAUGUGCACACUCUGUUUACACAUCCACUCACACCUGUGCACCCUCCGUAGUUCUGCAGCCUGGGGGGGCUCUGUUCCCCUCCUGCUGUGGUCCUGCGUAUUUACACACACACUGUGAUAAAGUCUCAUGGAAUGUAUGCCGCGUUUAACGCAAUACAAUACAACUUUCAGCAACGGAUCUCUUGGCUCUC